Centruroides sculpturatus (bark scorpion) is the source of this 583-nucleotide long non-coding RNA. RefSeq lists it as uncharacterized. Lineage: Eukaryota; Metazoa; Arthropoda; Arachnida; Scorpiones; Buthidae. The transcript has 2 exons. The record is from RefSeq and is a predicted model, not a curated record.
ACUGACCCCUAUUCAGGCGUUACAGACGUGGAGAAACUCAGAAAAUUCCACGUGGCCAGCCCGUCCUGGCGAAGCUCGAACCAACACCGAACUCCCAGUGUUCGGAAUCGCUUGGCCACUGAUGGACCUCAAGUGAGUAUGAGGGGGCUAUCCGCUUAGGAUUCUGCAUUGUGUGAUGGUCGCUGAACUUAGUUAAAGUAACUGCAAUUAUCCCCGUGGAUCUUUAGUUUGUCGAGGUACGGGAGAGGUCCAUCCCACCUAAUAUUUAUAUUUAAAAAGGAAACUGUCUAGGAAGUCCGUGUUAGCUUUUCUUAUUAAUGGAAAAUUUAUCUUAUUAUUUCUAGGAUUAAAUAUAAAAUUUUAAAUUUCUGAUUAGAUAAUUUUACUAUAAUAUUAUUGCAGCUCCUUCUUGUUUGUGCAGCUAUACUUCUGGCUAUGCUAGGAUUACAUAUUGUUUGUUUUUUUGUGGUUAUAACAUAUUACCGAUCGUUGGAAGUGCCUCAACGAACUGAAGAAGAUAUGGAAAAGUUGUGAAUUUGUAACUUUACAGUAACAUUAAAAAGUUUUUUAUUAAUUAACACUA